RNAcentral lists this ribosomal RNA (120 nucleotides) under uncultured bacterium. RNAcentral's name for it is "partial 16S ribosomal RNA". It matches the Rfam family "Bacterial small subunit ribosomal RNA", at positions 215 to 334 of the family's 1533-position model. The record is from RNAcentral.
UUGCCGAAGGAACGGCCCGCGUCCGAUUAGCUAGUUGGUGAGGUAAUGGCUCACCAAGGCGACGAUCGGUAGCUGGUCUGAGAGGAUGACCAGCCUCGCUGGGACUGAGACACGGCCCAG